UAGGGAAUCUUGCACAAUGGGCGCAAGCCUGAUGCAGCAACGCCGCGUGAGUGAAGAAGGCCUUCGGGUCGUAAAGCUCUUUUAUCAGGAAAGCAGGGCAGUUGGGUGAACAAUCCAGUUGUCUGACGGUACCUGAGGAAUAAGCACCGGCUAACUCCGUGCCAGCAGCCGCGGUAAUACGGAGGGUGCGAGCGUUGUUCGGAAUUACUGGGCGUAAAGAGCACGUAGGCGGGUUCAUAUGUCGAUUGUGAAAGCCCCGGGCUUAACCUGGGAAUUGCAGUCGAAACUGUGAAUCUUGAAUGCCAGAAAGGGUGGGGGAAUUCCUGGUGUAGAAGUGAAAUUCGUAGAUAUCAGGAGGAACACCUGAGGCGAAGGCGCCUGCCUGGCUGUGCAUUGACGCUGAGGUGCGAAAGCGUGGGGAGCAAACAG
This 429-nucleotide ribosomal RNA is filed under the name uncultured bacterium. Its description in RNAcentral is "bacterial SSU rRNA". It matches the Rfam family "Bacterial small subunit ribosomal RNA", at positions 355 to 775 of the family's 1533-position model. The record is from RNAcentral.